GACGAACGCUGGCGGCGUGCUUAACACAUGCAAGUCGAACGGAAAGGCCCUGCUUGCCGGGUACUCGAGUGGCGAACGGGUGAGUAACACGUGGGUGAUCUGCCCUGCACUUCGGGAUAAGCCUGGGAAACUGGGUCUAAUACCGGAUAGGAGCCAUUUUUAGUGUGAUGGUUGGAAAGUUUUUUCGGUGUAGGAUGAGCUCGCGGCCUAUCAGCUUGUUGGUGGGGUAAUGGCCUACCAAGGCGGCGACGGGUAGCCGGCCUGAGAGGGUGGACGGCCACAUUGGGACUGAGAUACGGCCCAGACUCCUACGGGAGGCAGCAGUGGGGAAUAUUGCACAAUGGGCGCAGGCCUGAUGCAGCGACGCCGCGUGGGGGAUGACGGCCUUCGGGUUGUAAACUCCUUUCGCUAGGGACGAAGCUUUUUGUGACGGUACCUAGAGAAGAAGCACCGGCUAACUACGUG
Molecule: ribosomal RNA, 465 nt
Filed under: uncultured bacterium
Lineage: Bacteria
Description: partial 16S ribosomal RNA
Rfam family: Bacterial small subunit ribosomal RNA
Source: RNAcentral